CAUUAAAGAGUUCUAUAACUCCCAAACCCAUGUGAACAUACCUAACGUUGCCUCGGCAGGUCGCACCUACCUUGUAGCACCCUACCCUGUAGGGCCUACCCGGGAGAUGCGGGUAAGCCUGCCGGCGGCCCACCAAACUCUGUUUAAUCUUGAAUUCUGAACAUAUAACUAAAUAAGUUAAAACUUUCAACAACGGAUCUCUUGGUUCUGGCAUCGAUGAAGAACGCAGCGAAAUGCGAUAAGUAAUGUGAAUUGCAGAAUUCAGUGAAUCAUCGAAUCUUUGAACGCAUAUUGCGCCCAUUAGUAUUCUAGUGGGCAGGACCGUUCGAGCGUCAUUUCGACCCUUAAGCCUUAGUUGCUUAGUGUUGGGAGCCUACGGCAACGUAGCUCCUCAAAGUUAGUGGCGGAGUUGGUUCACACUCUAGACGUAGUAAUUUUUUAUCUCGCCUAUUAGUUGGACUGAUCCCCUGCCGUAAAACCCCCAACUUAUCAAGGUUGACCUCGAAUCGGUUCAGACAAACUCGCUAAAUUGAAGCAUCUUAGUCAGCGAAGGAAAAGAAACCAACAGGGAUUGCCCUAGUAACGGCGAGUGAAGCGGCAACAGCUCAAAUUUGAAAUCUGGCCCUCGGGUCCGAGUUGUAAUUUGUAGAGGAUGCUUUUGGCGCGGUGCCUUCCGAGUUCCCUGGAACGGGACGCCUUAGAGGGUGAGAGCCCCGUACGGUUGGACACCAAGCCUCUGUAAAGCUCCUUCGACGAGUCGAGUAGCUUGGGAAUGCUGCUCUAAAUGGGAGGUAAAUUUCUUCUAAAGCUAAAUAUUGG
Molecule: ribosomal RNA, 819 nt
Filed under: fungal endophyte
Lineage: Eukaryota; Fungi
Description: eukaryotic LSU rRNA
Rfam family: Eukaryotic large subunit ribosomal RNA (bases 497-819)
Source: RNAcentral